UCUGCAAAUUCCAUUUACAGGUAGAGUCUCUUGGUCUGCUCAUGGUAAAUCAAGGUACCUUUUCUUUUCUGGAGUUUUACAUUUAGAUUCUCUGCUACUGGAUUAACACUACCAUGGAGCAAGUCAACAAGGAGAUUAAUGUGUUUGAUUUGAUUUUUUUUUAAGUAGUGAUUGGUCAAAGAUUACAUACACUGGUCGUGUCACAAUCAAGGUAUCUACAAUCGCAACCAAGGUGUCUUUAACAGUGGAAGCACAUGAUGCAGCUCAUGGAGGUCUACUUCCAUUGGUUAGUCCCUUAAGGAGGAGAAUACACUUUGUAAGCCUUGGGCCGGAAACGAGGUGUUGCUAGAUGAAAAAUUUAAGAAGACCUUAGAAAACAUCAUCAGCUCUUCGAUGCGAAGCAUUGUAUCUAAACAAGUUGGGCCAUCUAAGCAGGCUUUCUACUCUGCCUCCUUUGAUGGAGAUGGAAUCAUAAAACAAAAUGAUAAGUCAAUUUAGAAAUCAAAGCCUCGACCCAAUGUACUCAAAAAUAUAGAGAUUACUCGCAGCAGCCCCCUAUUCAGGAACUAAUUGGAAGGGAUCUUCAUGAUAUAUAAUGAAUGAAAAUUCACAUAUUUCGAGGUAAGUAUGGAACUAUGGAUUUAGCAUUCUUCAAAUCAACUACUCUAGCUUUAAUCGUAGAAAG
Long non-coding RNA from Rosa rugosa (rugosa rose), 685 nucleotides. RefSeq lists it as uncharacterized. The record is from RefSeq and is a predicted model, not a curated record. Lineage: Eukaryota; Viridiplantae; Streptophyta; Magnoliopsida; Rosales; Rosaceae. The transcript is spliced from 5 exons.